RNAcentral lists this ribosomal RNA (400 nucleotides) under uncultured bacterium. RNAcentral's name for it is "bacterial SSU rRNA". It matches the Rfam family "Bacterial small subunit ribosomal RNA", at positions 32 to 416 of the family's 1533-position model. The record is from RNAcentral.
AAUCAACGCUGGCGGCGUGCCUAACACAUGCAAGUCGAACGCGACUGGGGCUUCGGCCUCAGUUGAGUGGCGAACGGGUGAGUAACACGUGGGUGACCUACCUUCGAAUGGGGGAUAACGUCCCGAAAGGGACGCUAAUACCGCAUAACAUCCUGCCUUUGAACAGGCGGAGAUCAAAGCCGGGGAUCGCAAGACCUGGCGUUUGAAGAGGGGCCUGCGUCCGAUUAGCUAGUUGGUGAGGUAACGGCUCACCAAGGCGACGAUCAGUAGCUGGUCUGAGAGGACGACCAGCCACACUGGGACUGAGACACGGCCCAGACUCCUACGGGAGGCAGCAGUGGGGAAUUUUGGACAAUGGGCGCAAGCCUGAUCCAGCCAUGCCGCGUGCGGGAAGAAGGCC